AAUAGAUACCCAGGUAGUCCACGCCGUAAACGGUGGGUACUAGGUGUGGGUUCUUUCCUAAGGAUCCGUGCCGUAGCUAACGCAUUAAGUACCCCGCCUGGGGAGUACGGCCGCAAGGCUAAAACUCAAAGGAAUUGACGGGGGGCCCGCACAAGCGGCGGAGCAUGUGGAUUAAUUCGAUGCAACGCGAAGAACCUUACCUGGGUUUGACAUGCACAGGACGCGUCUAGAGAUAGGCGUUCCCUUUGGGCCUGUGUGCAGGUGGUGCAUGGCUGUCGUCAGCUCGUGUCGUGAGAUGUUGGGUUAAGUCCCGCAACGAGCGCAACCCUUGUCCCAUGUUGCCAGCGGGUGAUGCCGGGGACUCAUGGGAGACUGCCGGGGUCAACUCGGAGGAAGGUGGGGAUGACGUCAAGUCAUCAUGCCCCUUAUGUCCAGGGCUUCACACAUGCUACAAUGGCCGGUACAAAGGGCUGCGAAGCCGUGAGGUGGAGCGAAUCCCUGCAAAGCCGGUCUCAGUUCGGAUCGGGGU
RNAcentral lists this ribosomal RNA (529 nucleotides) under uncultured bacterium. RNAcentral describes it as "bacterial SSU rRNA". It matches the Rfam family "Bacterial small subunit ribosomal RNA", at positions 777 to 1304 of the family's 1533-position model. The record is from RNAcentral.